RNAcentral lists this ribosomal RNA (492 nucleotides) under uncultured bacterium. RNAcentral describes it as "partial 16S ribosomal RNA". It matches the Rfam family "Bacterial small subunit ribosomal RNA", at positions 29 to 507 of the family's 1533-position model. The record is from RNAcentral.
AGUGAACGCUGGCGGUAGGCCUAACACAUGCAAGUCGAACGGCAGCACAGUAAGAGCUUGCUCUUACGGGUGGCGAGUGGCGGACGGGUGAGGAAUACAUCGGAAUCUACUUUUUCGUGGGGGAUAACGUAGGGAAACUUACGCUAAUACCGCAUACGACCUACGGGUGAAAGCAGGGGAUCUUCGGACCUUGCGCGAUUGAAUGAGCCGAUGUCGGAUUAGCUAGUUGGCGGGGUAAAGGCCCACCAAGGCGACGAUCCGUAGCUGGUCUGAGAGGAUGAUCGGCCACACUGGAAGUGAGACACGGUCCAGACCCCUACGGGAGGCAGCAGUGGGGAAUAUGGGACAAGGGGCGAAAGCCGGAUCCAGCAAUACCGCGGGGGGGAAGAAGGCUUUGGGGUUGAAAAGCCCUUUUGUGGGAAAAAAAAACAAGCAGUUUAAUACCCCGCUGUCCUGACGGAACCAAAAGAAAAAGCACCGGCUAACUUCGUG